RNAcentral lists this small RNA (784 nucleotides) under Pan troglodytes (chimpanzee). RNAcentral's name for it is "retained intron". The record is from RNAcentral. Lineage: Eukaryota; Metazoa; Chordata; Mammalia; Primates; Hominidae.
UACCAAGAAGCUUGGCUGUUGCUGGUGAAAGAAUAUUACACAAGUAGGGCCAGGAUUACUGUCUUGCCAAACAGGACAGAACACUAAGCCUCUGUAUUUAGUUGCUAAUUUAUUGUGACAGAGGAGCAUAUUGAUCUGUCCCCGUGAUUGUGCAGUUAGCAAAACCCAGGCUUUGAGAAACCCUGUAGGUCAAAUACCCCAGGCUCCUCCACAGAUAAUCUCUGAGGGAAAGACAGAGUUGUGGGGAGCAUGUGGGGGUUGUACCAGGAUUUAAAAGAUACACGGCAAUUUUAGAAAUUAGCAAGUCUAAACUAUGAUACCUAAGGAUGCACACCUGGGUGAUAAAAUUAUAAAGAAAUGGCCGGGUGUGGUGGCUCACACCUGUAAUCCCAGCACUUUUAGAGGCCGAGGUGGGUGGAUCACCUGAGGUCAGGAGUUCGAGACAAGCCUGACCAACAUGGAGAAACCUCGUCUCUACUAAAAAUACAAAAUUAGCCGGGCGUGGUGGCACAUGCCUGUAAUCCCAGCUACUCCGGAGGCUGAGGCAGGAGAAUCGCUUGAACCUGGGAGGCGGAGGUUGUGGUGAGCCAAGGGAUCACUGAGAUUCUGAUGAACAGACCUUCUGCCCGCAAUGCCUUGGGGAAUGUCUUCGUCAGUGAGGUAAGAAAGGGCGGGCGCCAGGGUGGGCUGGGGAUGGGCUGGCACUAUCUAACUGGGUGUCCUCUGUAGCUGCUGGAAACUCUGGCCCAGCUGCGGGAGGACCGGCAAGUGCGUGUCCUGCUCU